UACGAAGGGGGCUAGCGUUGCUCGGAAUCACUGGGCGUAAAGGGUGCGUAGGCGGGUCUUUAAGUCAGGGGUGAAAUCCUGGAGCUCAACUCCAGAACUGCCUUUGAUACUGAAGAUCUUGAGUUCGGGAGAGGUGGGUGGAACUGCGAGUGUAGAGGUGAAAUUCGUAGAUAUUCGCAAGAACACCAGUGGCGAAGGCGGCUCACUGGCCCGAUACUGACGCUGAGGCACGAAAGCGUGGGGAGCAAACAGG
RNAcentral lists this ribosomal RNA (253 nucleotides) under uncultured bacterium. Its description in RNAcentral is "partial 16S ribosomal RNA". It matches the Rfam family "Bacterial small subunit ribosomal RNA", at positions 524 to 776 of the family's 1533-position model. The record is from RNAcentral.